UCAACACUACCAUGGUAUUUGUGUUACUGCUCUAAACCCAGAGGAGUUUAUUGAAGCAAAAGACCCAUUUAGGAAAUAAUUACUUGUUGAUGGAAAUGUUCCUUGAAGUUUUACUAACGAUCCUGUGGAUUCAACUAUCACCGGUGAGUGGUCAACAGCUGAAUCAGAGUCCUCAGUCUAUAACCAUCCAGGAAGGCAAGGACGUCUCCAUGAACUGCAGCUCUUCAAGCACUUUUAACAGCUUCUUUUGGUACAAACAGAGCCCUGGAGAAGGUCCUGUCCUCUUGCUAACUUUGUAUAAGAGCGGUGAAUUGAUGAGAAAUGGGAAACUGACUGCUCAGAUAGGUGCAACAAGGAAGGACAGUGUCCUGAGCAUCCCUGCCUCCACGCCUGACGAUGUAGGAACCUACUUCUGUGCUGGCUACCACAGUGCUCCCCCAGCACCUGCAGCCUGUACUCAAAUUUGCAGGUGUUGGCAUGCAGUGUGAUGAGUUACACAGCCUGUAUUACUAUUGCAAACCCUC
Chinchilla lanigera (long-tailed chinchilla) is the source of this 524-nucleotide non-coding RNA. Lineage: Eukaryota; Metazoa; Chordata; Mammalia; Rodentia; Chinchillidae. The record is from the annotation of a RefSeq genome assembly.